RNAcentral lists this ribosomal RNA (254 nucleotides) under uncultured bacterium. RNAcentral's name for it is "partial 16S ribosomal RNA". It matches the Rfam family "Bacterial small subunit ribosomal RNA", at positions 524 to 776 of the family's 1533-position model. The record is from RNAcentral.
UACGGGGGGAGCAAGCGUUGUUCGGAUUUACUGGGCGUAAAGGGCGCGUAGGCGGCCAGCGCAAGUCAGUUGUGAAAUCUCCGGGCUUAACUCGGAACGGUCAACUGAUACUGCGGGGCUAGAGUGCGGAAGGGGCAACUGGAAUUCUCGGUGUAGCGGUGAAAUGCGUAGAUAUCGAGAGGAACACCUGCGGCGAAGGCGGGUUGCUGGGCCGACACUGACGCUGAUGCGCGAAAGCCAGGGGAGCGAACGGG